ACGAGAAUCAGCACAGCGUCACCUUACACAAUUUUGCACCCUAGCAUUUACGAUGCUUUUAAAACUGCUUUCAUCAACGCGCUUCCAAAGAAUGUGGCACUUGUAGAGUCUCCUAUGAAACAAUUUGGACUUUGCUUUAGUUCGAAAAACAUUAAAAGUACCAACGUUGGACCAGCUGUUCCUGUGAUAGAUAUUGUGUUGCACAAGCCGAGUGCAUUUUGGAGGAUUUAUGGAACAAAUUCAGUGGUACAAGUUAGUAAGGAUGUUAUGUGUUUAGCAUUUGUGAAACAAGAUGAAGAAAGGGAACCAUCAAUUGUUAUAGGAGGACAUCAAUUGGAAGAGAACCUAUUGAUAUUUGACCUUCCUGGAAAGAAGAUUGGUUUCAGCUCAUCACUUAAACUUCAACAAACAUCAUGCUCUCAGUACGACAAUACCAUUCUAGGCUAAGCCCCUCUAUUCUAUAUAUGUAAUUUUCUAUUUCAAUAAUAAACUAGAUGGUCGGUGCCCGUGCAUUGCAUAGGCGUAUGACUUAUAUCGUUUUAUAUGUUAUUCUUCAUAAUUUCCUAUUUGGAUAAUAAAUUAGAUGUUCUAACUUCUAUAUACAAUUGAUAAACCAAUGUACGAGAUCUAUCAUUUUGCUGACUCAAAGAGUUGAUAGUAUAGUCAUGCAGUCCAUGGAUCGAUCCUCUAACCGGCUAUAUAUUUAGAUUACCAUUAGAGCCGUCAAUAUGGGCUAGGCUCGUUGGACUGGCUUGACCUAGUCUGUGAUUUGAUAGGGCUGAACUACGAGUUUUGGAGCCCAUUUAAGAAAAGAGUUUUUUAGCCCGGUCUGAAUAAGUCUGUCGAUUUGUGGAGCUUGAGAAAUAUGGAUAGAGCCGGUCCAUGGGCCAAAUAAAAAUUAAUUAAAAAAUAAUAAUAAGAUAGAGUAUUAAAAAUAACAAGAGUCUAAACUCAAAUCUGUUUAAAGUUUGAAAUAUUACAAUUUAAAAUCGGUCAUAGUUUUUGUGUUUUAUUACGAUCAUUGGAAAACAAUUAGGUUAUAUUUCUAUUUAGCUAUUUAUACUUUUACUUGAAAUCAAACUUAAUAAAUAUUAUAAAGAUAAUUUUAUUUGUGUAUUUAAUUAACAAAUAGUAACACUAACACCAUGUAAUAUUGUCUUGUCGAUAUUUAUGAUAAUAAAAAUUAUAAAAAAUAUACUUUUAAGAAAAAAGGGUUGGCCCGGCAAAGCCCGUAGCCCACGCACUUGUGGGAGCCUAUAGCCCACAUACUUAUGGGCUGAGCCGACAAUUUUCUAGCCCACACAAAAAAUGGGCUAGUCCGGCUUGGCCCGUCAAAUUUCAAAGCCUGUAUGGGUUAGCCCGGAUGGGGUGGGCCAACCCAUAUUGACAGCUCUAAUUACCAUCAUGACUACAUCUAGAGCCGUCAAAAUAGGUUUAGCCCAUGGGAUCGGUCCAAUCCAACUCGUUAUUGGGGUACGGUUGAGAUAGAUUUUUUCAAGCCCAUUUAAAAUUAGGGCUUAUGAUCCUUUAGCCCUUAAGGCUUGAUCAGGGCCGAGUUGGGGUCGGCCCAUGGGCCAAAACUAUUUAUUUAAGAGUAACUUACAUAAAUUUCUCUAGUGUAUGAGCUGAUUACUUAAAGGUACGUUAUGUUGUAAUAUUACGAAUCUUAUCAGAUUUUGGUAUGUCCAAAUACAUGUAUCUCGGGAUACAUGGACUCAAAAUUAGGUUAAUUUGUUCUAGAUACACUCUAUCUAGGAUACAUAGAUAAAUCUCGCACCCUCGCCACUCUCUAAUCUCACUCGCGUAUCUGGGGUGCAUCACACCAGAUACUGAGAUACAUAUAUCUAGUAUCCAAGAUACAUGCUAAUCACACUAUACUUUUUGCCAGUGUUAUUAAAACAACACCAUUAUUUGCCAUAUUUGAUUUGAAAAUCUUCUCAUCUUCUUGAUGUUAUACAAUUUUAAGUUUGAAAAGAUAAAAAACAAAAAAAGAAGGGCUAGCCCACCCCAGCAAGAAUAAUCUAACUGAUUUGUUCCACAGAACAUAUCAUACUUUCCUUAUCUCACGUUCUAUCUCUAAUUUUGUUAUAAUCUCAAAUUCCAUUAGCAAUUAUCCAUUUACCUAUUGGUAGCUAAGCAAGUAAGCAACAGAGAAAUAAGCAUAGUAUUAAGAGGAGAAAACUUUGACCGUAAAAGUCCGCAAUAACAACCAAUAUAUCAAAUUAUACAACGUUCAUAGUAUGGUCAUAACCCCCUAAAAAGGACUUUUAGUCAUUUAAUAUCUGAUUACAAAGCAAUAAUUCAAAUAAGAAAAAAGAAAUGAAGUAAGUAAAAAGCAAGAAAGUAAAUCCUAGAUAAUUUGCUCUUUGUUAUUGCUCUGUGCCUCAACAUUCAACAAUAUUUAUCUCCCUUUAAAAAUGAUUAAGGAUGAGCAUUUAUAAUAUUUAAUAAAAACAUCUAGAAGGGUCCUCCAAGUCGAUCUAUUCAAUCCAUUUCUCCUUUAAACCAUGUUACAUAUUUAAUCAUAAUUUUUUUAUUGAUAAACAAGAUCUGCACACAUUUUGUUACCGCACACAGAUACAAAAUAGUCUUUUUUUGUUUUUAUAAUCUAUUUUCACAAAUCAGGUAGCUAGUCCCAGUACAUCAAUACUGGUGGUGGUUAAUUAACUGCAUUUACCUUUUGAGCCAACAGACUAAAAAAAACCUCCCACUAUUCUUGUUUAAAAGGAUAUUUUGAAAAACUUAAAAUUUAAUUUGGUACAUAGUUAACUCUACUACUUUCAAUAACUAUUAAGUACUAUAAGUUUUGAACCCAUAAUAACACAAAUGCGAUGAAAAUAUAAACAUUCAACGACCACCACAUGAUGGGCGGCCUCCUUCCUUAAUCAAAGGUUUCGGUUCGAGCCCUGAUAUAAAAAAAUCUUUACCCCACCACUUAGUCCCGAAUGAAGCCCUAUACAAUGUAAAUUCGAAAUAGUCAGAUUUCAACGUCGAUAAAAAAAUAAAAUAUUCAACGCAUUAAUUAAAUUCACGUUUGAAAAUUGAGAUUAGAUGUCAACAUCAAGAAUCUCAAAUACGCGUAUAAAUCUGUCCAUGUGCAUGAGAUAACUCCAUGCUGACUAGAUUUUAUUCAAAGUCAAAGUUUUGACUUGUGAUCAUAUACUCUCUCCUGUACAUUUUACUUUCUUUUGCACACAGAAAAACAUGAAUUAAAAGCUACUCCCUGUCCCAAUUUAUGUGACCUACUUAUAAAAAAAAUAACAUAUUUUUAUAUUAAGUAAUAAUUUAACUAUAAAUGUCUAUUUUACCCUUAAUGAAAUGAUUUACAACCACACAAAUUUUUAUCAUUCAUUUUGGAUCACAAAUUUUAAAAGUCUUUCUUUCUUUCUUAAACUCCAUGCCGAGCCAAACUACCUCACAUAAAAUGGGACGGAGAGGGAGUAAUAUAAUUUAAUUAUUUUUAUUUAAUUUUAUUUUGAUCUAUUACUACUUUUUUUAAUCAUAAUAAUUUCUCUUUAUAUUUAUUGAGUAAUUAUCAAAUUAAAUUUUUUGUUAUUAAUUUUAUUUUGAUUUUCUUGAUCGGACUAUUUUUGAUAAACACGGCAUCUAAUAUGGACCAGAAAGAGUAAGAAAUACGGAACCAUUAUACAGCUUCACUAAAUGUCAACGGAAAUAAACAAAAGAAUCCAUAUAGACUAUAGUUGUCUAAGCUUAUUCUCUUACUAUAAAUUUGCAACUCCAUACUUAGAAUUUCUCAUUGGUCUAAUAAUCCAUUUACUUUUUUGUCUUUCUUUGUUUAGCAUGGUGACAUUCAAACUUCCUUUAUCUAUGCUUCUUUUAUUCCUUCUACUCAAUAUUUUUCUAUGCUCAUCUGAAGUACUAUACAUUCCAGUCACUAAAGAUGCAUCAACCCUAGAAUACAUUAUAGAAGUAGGUCAAAGAACUCCUUUAAUCCCCAUAAAACUCUUAAUCAAUCUUGGUGGUAGAAGCUUAUGGGUGGAUUGUGACAAAGGUUACAAAAGUUCAACUUACAAACCAGCAGUAUGUAAUUCCACACAAUGCACUUUUGCCAAAUCUCAUGCCUGUGGAGAUUGCAUAUUCAAACCUCAAGUGCAGCCUGGAUGUAGCAACAAUACUUGUUACAUUUGGGGUGAAAAUCCAUUGAUCAAUUCGUUUCACGAUCGCGCUGAAAUUGCUGAGGAUGUAUUGGCUAUUGGUUCUACUCCUGGUGUUCGUGUAACUUGGCCGCGGUUUAUUUUCUCUUGCCUUCUUGAUCAAGAUAUGAUGAGACAAUUCGCGAAUGGAGUCACAGGUAUUGAAUCAUAUAUUGUGUGAAUGCCUUAGUUUAAAAUUUAAAAUUGUCACAUAUAAUUGGUUAAUUGUUAAAUUAAAUUUAUAUGUAUGUAUUUUUAUCUUCUUCUUUUUUUUGUUAUAUUACACAUUAUUGAAUGAACCUUAGAAGUACAAAAAGGAGGCUGUAGGAGCCAUCACCUACCUUGCUCCAUUCAUAACAUAGAUGGUAGGAUUUUAAAUAAAGCUCACAAAAAAUUUAAGGGAUAGACCCAAUAGACAAUAGAAGUCACAAUAGGACCCACCUAAUUCCUUUUGACUUUAAAAUAUAUAACUCAGAGUGUUACAUAGUGAACAAAUUAAAGAAAAUGUCACAUGCAAAGUUUUGUCAUUUUAAUAGAGUAUUUAUUUUUUCUUCUCCUCCUUAGGUAGGUAAGGGGUUUAAUUGCACCAUAAACAAGUGUAGAGCGUAAGAAGUCAACCAUACAAUUUUUAACCCAAUUUGAGAAAGUACAAUUUUAAAUUAUUGAAUUGUAUUAUUUCUUAACAGGAGUUGCAGGUUUUGGACGUGAAAGUCCAGUUUCCAUUCCCAAUCAACUUGCUUUAGACUCUAGAUUCACCAAGAAAUUUGGUAUAUGUUUGAGCUCAUCUACAAAAUCUCGUGGGGUUAUUUUCAUCGGUUCUGGUCCAUAUUAUGUUUACAAUCCUAAGAAAAUCGAUAUCUCCAACGAUAUUCUCUACACCAAAUUAAUCGCAAAUACAAGGGGAGGAUUUGUGACUUCUGAAGAGUAUUAUAUCCAAGUUUCAUCCAUUCGAAUCGCGGGGCAAGACGUUCCACUAAAUAAAACAUUGUUAUCUAUUAAUAAGAAAAAUGGAGUUGCUGGGACGAGAAUAAGUACAGCUACACCUUUCACAAUUUUACACACUACCAUAUAUGAUGCUUUUAAAACUGCUUUCAUCAAGGCACUUCCAAAGAAUGUGACAAUUGUAGAGCCUCCUAUGAAACAAUUUGGACUUUGCUUUAGUUCGAAAAACAUUAAAAGCACCAACGUUGGACCAGAUGUUCCUGUGAUAGAUUUUGUGUUGCAUAAGCCUAGUGCAUUUUGGAGGAUUUAUGGGACAAAUUCAGUGGUACAAGUUAAUAAGGAUGUGAUGUGUUUAGCAUUUGUGGGACAAGACCAAACAUGGGAACCAUCGAUUGUGAUUGGAGGACAUCAAAUGGAAGAGAACCUAUUGAUAUUUGACCUUGUAGGAAGGAAUAUAGGUUUCAGCUCAUCACUCAAGCUUCAACAAGCAUCAUGCUCUAAGUACGAUAAUACCAUUCUAGGCUAAUAUAAGUACCAUUCUAGUCAAUUAAUUAUGUAAUUUCCUAUUUCAAUAAUAAACUAUACGAUCAGUGUACGUGCAUUGCACAAGUGUAUGAUUUAUAUCCUUUUUUUUAUUCUUUUGAAUGUCUUCAAGAACAUCAAAAAGGAUCAAUGUACUUGUUUCAAUAAGAAGAGUAAUACCUUUUUAAUGGCGUAAUUUGGGUGUAUCACUAGACUUGUAGCCAAAUGGUACAUUGUAAAGGAAAGGAUAAAAUAUCAAGAAACCUUCUCUCCAGUUUGUAGAAAUGGUCAGAAUUAGAAUCAUAUUAGCCCUUGCAUAUAUUUGAAUGAUUCAAAUUUAUAGGAAGUCAGUUAUACACUUGUAUCAUGAAAACUAAGAAAAGUCUAUUUUAUCAAAAAGCUCUGUAAAAGCAGAGUACAAAAGCUUAACAACAAAUUGUCAUUGAAAUAAUUUGGUUAGCUGUCCUUAAACAAGUGGAUUUUGAAAUAAAUUCCAUCUAUUGACAUCUAAAGUGAUAACAAGGUUGCUAUAUGCAAAUUACACUCAAUUAACAAAACACAUUGAAAUCGAUUGUCUCACUAGACCAUAUCUUUGAAGUUAGUUUUCAAAUUUGUAAAGAAUUUAUAGUCAAAAUCAAAUGUCUUAGCUCAAAGUUCACAUAAACUGAGAUGAAAAAUAAAGUAAAUUAAUAUCCGCAAGCCGUUGUGCAACAAAUUACUUUCCUUCAUUUAGUAUUGGUACCAAAUUAAAUAACUGAAUUGCAAGCGUCGUCACGAAUUAAAUAUUUCACAUGCGUACAACUACAUAGUAAUUUAUUUUUGUUAGUGCCUUGCCUUCCCCAACCACUGCCCGAUAGGAUAACAAUGGAAUAAUACCCAAGUCUAAACUUUCCCUUUCAAUUUGAACCAAGAGAAGACAAACUAAAUCAAGCAAUACGAAGAAUGGACAUAAAGUUUAUCAACCAAACAAAAAUAAAAGACAAGAAUAAACCAAUCACACAAGACACAAAAAUUUACAUGAAAACCCUUCGAUGUGAAGAGUAAAAGACCACAGGAUCAAAAGCUCCACUAUAAUCACCAAGAGUUACAAGAUUUUUCUCCAAAAUUGACCACAAAACAAGUGUCACACAACGAGCAACAACGGAACAAGAUUGCACCAAAACUAGAGAAUUAAAAGAGAGAAUUCACCCAAAGAUGAACAACUGUUCACGCCCCAAAAUCAGAAACUGCAGACAACCAAAUCCGAUCUCCACCGUUGAAAUUCAAGAACCAAAUGUUGAGAACUCUCAAUUUAAAUUUGAGCACGAUCCAACGAUUAACGAACCAAAUGUUGAGAACUCUCUCUCUCUCUGUUUAAAACGACUCUCUCUUGACUUUUCUCUCUUUUGUGUCUGAAAAUAAGACCUAAACAAGUCUUAUAUAUGCAACAUAAUAUUGGGCUUAUGGGCUAAAGUGGACUGGUCCAAAUAAGACUUCUAUUUAUCCAUAUGGGAAGGGAAAAAGAUCUCAAACCCAUCAAUAAGGGAUACAAACAAGUCAAUGCAACACUAAUGGGUGAAAAUCAUUUAUACCCUUAAACUUUGCUUUUAAAAAUAAACUCCCCCUCAACUAUGACCAAUAGUCACUAUCCUUCUGGACAAGAGUUAAUUCCAAAACUCCACAAAAAGAACAUAUUAUUUCAACUAACAAGAACUCUCUUUUUACUAAUAUUUAUGCACUCUCUAUUUUCUUGUGCUCUCGACAAAGGAAGAACAUCACUAUUUAUAGGGGAGGAAUUCUUCCUUGCAAUGAAUGUGAAGAUAAUGAGGGUAGUAAACUAGUAGAUAAAUGAGCUAGAGGUUACAUAAAUUACAAGAUAUAAUGGAGGAAUAAAGAGUGCAUUAAAAUGAGGAGGCAACAAAUGCCAUCAAUGGACAAUUGUUGCACUAUUCAACGAACAAAAGGAAUUAUGCUUUUGUAACACCUCGCAACUCAACUCGUAGAAUCCAAAUUGUUCGUCGUAAGUAAAUAAGCUAGGACAGGGUGAUGUCCUACUUGUUCUUAUGUGUUAAGGUUCUUUUCUAUGUGUGAGGAGUGUAUUGGAAGUGGGUUAGGGUCAUAAGAAACCUCUAGUACUUAUAAGUUGAGUUCAAAGACUUCCUACCUGCUAAGUUUUUCACAUUAGUUCAUGCAAUGGUCAACUUCAAACGACCAUAUCUCUUAGUAUAUAAGUUAUUAGGUGUACCUUGACCUAUCUAGUUACAGUCUUUUGAGUUUUCUUUCCAACACCACCAAAUUUGCAUCAAACGGAGUUUGGAGUACGUUAUUGACAGUUUUACCAAAGACUACCACAAAAAGAUUUUCAAAGUCCGAUAACUACGAACCUUAUUUACAGGUCGUAAAUUAAAGUACAACCCAUACUAUAAACUCAUAAAACCAGCUUCAGAGACGGAAUUUUUUGGUCUGAUUCUUUUGGAUCCAAUUACGGGUCGUAAAAUCACCUACAGGCCAUAAAUUGAGCCUGUAAAGUGAAGUCCUGCAACUUGUUUUUGGACCUGAUUUUCAUGGAUAUGAUUACGGGUCAUAAUUUGGGUUUGUAGAAUGAAUUUCAGAAACUCAAAAUUUUAGUUUAACUUCCACGGAUGGGAUCUAUGGCCUGUAGAUCAAGCCAUGUAUCAUAGAUGGCCUCAUGAAAUGUUUUUGACAAUUUUUUAAUUGGAGUUAUUUUGUUCUUUUUUCAUUCUUCCUAAGUCUAAGCUGUGACGUUUUAACUUCUAUUAAGGGAAUAUAUUUCAUCAAGUACUUAGUUUUCUUUGUUUUCUACGCUCUCAACUCUCCAAACUCAUAAAAGCAAACCGCUAGAAAAGCAAAGCUAGAGUUUUAAGUUUUUCAAGUAAGUUCUUCUUUAGAUUCUCAAUCUCUCAGGUAUAUAAGGCUUCAAUGAGAGUAUUCAUUCACUCGCAUGUCUAAAGUAUAUUAAUUCUCAAGAAUUUCACAAAAUUGGUAGAAGUAAAACUAAUUUUAUUAUGAAAUUAUGAUCUUUCUUCAUUAGCUUACGUUUUCAUUGUUUCACUUUGGCUUUAAAAUCUUAUUGUACUAACUUAACAUGAUUUUUAUGGUCAUUCAAACUCUUAUGACUUGUAUGCAUGAAAACUAGCAUGAUAUGAAUUUCAAUCUAAAUUCAAGUUAUUUUAGAUAUGACUUUCGAGCUUGUUUCACAUAUGAUUCAAAUAGAUAGAUGGUUUUCAUACCAAUGAGAAUUAUAUGUAUAUAUGUUAUUUUCGGAGGACUAUUUAGCACCGAGAGGACACAUGUUUAGAAAAUUCAAGUCUCAUAAACUAUGUGCCAUCGUAGAAUUAUGUUUCACCGCUUUGACGGUUGAUCAUUUAGCCCUGAUAGGUUCAGAUUAGUGGAUCCACAUAGAUAUGAUGAUAUGGUUCUAUACUCUGGAAAGGUAUAGGGCAGCCCUCCCGACUGGGUUAGUUGUUGAACAUCAUGAGCUCACAUGGUGUAUGUCGAUUUUAAGAAACUCUCCAAUUUAUGCAUCUUUCACGAUAUGAUGUUACUUUAUUUGAUUCAUUUUUAAGUAUGUUAUUUACAUAUAUGAUUAUGAAAGGCUAAUGAAAUAGACUCAUCUCUAUAUAUGCUUUUGAAAGAGGAUUUUGAAUGGUAUUUAGAGAGGAACCCAAUUGUUUUCUCCUCAAGUUCUCUUACCAAUUUACAUGAAUUUGAAAACCUUAUUUCACUAUCCUCGUUAUGUUAUUUUUACGAUUAUGCUAGUGCCCCUUUCUUACUGAGUACAUUCCAUAUACUAAUGCAUACUUUUCUCUGUGAUGCAUCCUUUUAUGAUGUAGAUUUCAGCGCCCAUACUCAAACUCGUGGCUAGUGAGGUUGCAACAGUUCCAGCCAACGAUUGGUAAAUCCUCCUCAUACAGGGAAUUCCUUGGAUUAGUUGUUAGUCAGAUUUUAGUAGUUUCUUUGUUUAUUUGGUUUGAGGUAACUGAGGUCCAUGUUUCGGUAAACUUAUUUCCUUACGUCUAAAUGUUAGAGGCUUAUUUCAGACAAUAGUUGUUCAAUCAUCAUAGAUUUAUUGAUUUCAUUAUUAAAACUUAUUAAGCAUGUAUUUCAUUCCGCAAUAAUUUUAUAUGAUAUGCUUUGAUAUGAUGUAUGUCAAGGAUUAACUUGGCGCCACUCAUAAUUUUAAAUAACGUGUCUCGGUGGGAUGCAGACUCGAAUUGUGACAUGCACAAUUCAUUGAAAAAAUUGUAGCAUAAGAACCAACUCCAAAAUGGAGUAAAGCAGCCAAUAAAAAUAUUCCAAUAGAAGCCAAUCAACAACAAUUGAAAAGGCAGCAAUUAAUUAAAGUAAGGGAAGGCAGCACUUUAAACUCCAAAAAAUAGCAAAUUUAUAUUACUAAAGAUUAAUAUUAAAAUGCUGAAAGACCAACACAUUGUUAUAAUACCUAACAUAUAACUCUGACUAAUUUUCCGUACUCCAAAAGUAUUUUCUUUAUGAUAUAACGCAAUUUGGGAACAUCUAUUUUUUGAUAUUUAAACUAUGUACAUUAUGUUACAAAUUCUUUUAAAAUAUAGUUUCUUAGCAUAUUGAUUUUAUAAGAAUUAAAACUAUUAAUAUUUUGAUGUAAUUGAUUUGAGAAGAAUUAAAAUUAUUAAUAUUUUGAUGUAAUUUUUGAAUAUUUAAAUUUUAAAUUAUUGAGUUAACUUGGUUGAAUUUAAUUUAAAAAAUUCAUUAGCAACUCCCAAAAAAGAAAAAAAAAAGUGCUACUUGAAUUAGAUGAAGAGAGUGUGACGUUGUGCAACAAAAUACUUAAGUAUCAUCACAAAUUAAUUAAGACUACCUUAUAAUUUUCUCUGAAAUUAGUUGUAACUUUUUAAAAUGUUGUAUUUGUGCAAUUUCUCCCAACUUAAAUAGUCAACACAACUAUAGCAAAUUCUUCAAUAAAAUCACUUAUGUUUAUUUUUUAUUAAUUAAGUCACUCAAGUUAGAUAACUUUAUGAUCUACAUUGUGACUACAUGCAACAAAUAAAGAAAUAAAUACAUAAACUUCCUUUCAAAAUUUGAUUUUAUAACACUUAUUUUCUUUGUAGUUUUAUUUGCCUUCUUAUUUCAUUUUCUUGCAAUAAUUUUUAAUCUUGUUAUCAUUAACAUAAAUUUUUUUUUAUAGAUGCCUCUCAAUGUAGAAGAACUACAGAUAUAAUAUAUACAAUUCGAAUUAUGGUCUCUUGAAACUAACAGUCACAUUUGGGGACAAUCGACACAAUUCGAAUUGCAAAUAUAAGAAAUAUUACAAUAUUUAUUUUUCACUUUAAUUAAUUGCUUCGAUAAUUUAAUUUUAGAGGAACUAAAACUAAAUCUAAAAAUUGCAGCAUGGUCCUCCCCGACAAGUUAGGCAACUUUAAAUUUUCCUUACUAUCUUCGUAUUCACACAAACCAAACAAGAAAAAGUAAAUGUUUCUCUUUUCUAGUUGUUAUAAGAAAACAAACGCUUGAAGAACUUCAAUAAUGAUACGAGGAUAAAGAAGGCAGAUUGUGGUGUUGUAGUAAGUACUCCUUCAUAAUUAAGAGGUAAUUACAAAUUUGAAUCCCUACGUACGAAAUUGCAUUUGUUAGAAAACACUUAACCCUAAAUGUGAAAUUUUGGCAUUAAUCAAAAUUUAAUUAGACUUCAGUAUGAAUAUCAGAUACACAUAUAAAUCUAAAUUUAAUUAGACUUCAAUGUAAAUAUCGAAUACGCGUAUAAAUCUAAAUUGAGAUGAGAUGUGAGCAUAACGAAUCUCAAACACGCGUAUAAUUCUGUUUCCUAGUCCACUUGGCAUGUGCAUGAGAUAUCUCCAUAUAUAUGCUGACUAGAUUUAAUUCAAAGUCAAAGUUGUGAUCAUAUACUCUCCUCAUCUUCAUCUUACUGUCUUAGUAGAGUACAUAAGCGCGUCCAACUUGGCAUAAUACUGACAAUUUGUGUCAUAUGCGACAUUCUAUAGUAUUAUAUAUAUCUCAUAAAAUAUUUAUAUUUAUUUGAUCAAUUUUAUAUUAAUUUAAAUAUUUACUUAUGCACAUUCAAAAUUAACGAAUAUAGUGUCAGAUGCAAUAAAAUUAAAAAAAAAACAUAUUUAUGUAUAAUUCUUAUUUUCUUUUUGUACAUAGAAAACAUUAACUAAAAGGUAAUUUUUUUUAUAAAAAAAUAAGAGUAAGAAAUAAGGAAGCAUUAUAGAGUUUCACUAAUGUCAACCAUAAACAAAGAUAUUCAAACAUAGGUGGGCCAUAACUCAUAUAUUGUCCAUAUAGACUAUAGUAACGUUGAAAAAAAAUAAAAAAAGGGGAAACUACAAAAACAAUUAUUACUACUAUAAAUUAGAAUCCCUCAUUGGUCUAAUUAUAUCAUUUACUUUCUUUUUUUCUCUAGCAUGGUGACAUUCAAACUUCCUUUAUCUAUACUUCUCAUUUUUCUUUUACUCAAUAUUUUUCAAUGCUCAAGUGAAGUACUAUACAUUCCAGUCACUAAAGAUGCAUCAACUCUACAAUACAUUGUAGAAGUAGGACAAAAAACUCCUUUAAUUCCCACAAAACUCUUACUCCAUCUUGGUGGUAAAAGCUUAUGGGUGGAUUGUACCAAUAGUACAACUCAUACAAGUUCAACUUACAAAUCAGCUGUAUGUAAUUCUACAGAAUGCUCUAUGGCCAAGUCUUAUGGCUGUGGAGAUUGCAAAUUUAGAAGUGAAUUGCAGCCUGGAUGCAACAACAAUACUUGUUACAUUUGGGGUGAAAAUCCCAUCAAGAAAAUGUAUCAUGAUGGUUCUGAAGUUGCUGAGGAUGUAUUGACCAUUGGUUCUUCUCCUGGGGUUCUAGUCACUUCGCCGCGCUUUAUUUUCACUUGCCUUAUUGAUCCUUCUAUGCUCGAAAAACUCGCCAAUGGAGUCACAGGUAUCAAAAUUGAAACUAUUACUUUCUCUAUUUCAAUUUGUUUCUCUUAUAUUGCAUGUCCUCUUAGUCAGUUUUUUAACAAAAUGUCUUGUUUUUUUUUUGACAAUUUUAAUUUCUAAUUCUAAAUUUCUAUAUGGUAUGUUUAAGAGGCCAAAAUUAAAUGAUAUUUUGAAACAUUUUAAUUUAAGAUCACAAAAUUUAAAGAUUUUUUUUUCAAAUUUUCUUAAACUUGUGUAUCAAGUCAAAAUCAAACAAACAAAACUGAAACCGAAGGAACACAAUUUUUAAUAAUUGAAUUAGUAAAUACUCCUCUCUGUUUUUAACUAGGGUUGUGGUAAAGUGAUAACUACUCAUUUAUCAUUAACCAAGAGGUUUCAGGUUGAGUCCUAUCGAGUAUAAAUUAAAGUCACCUUUGAUAGAGAGCGUUUUAGGUGGAAACAUCUUUCACAAUUCUUAGAGAGAUGGUUCACUAAUAGACCGAGCGGAGUGGGGUGGGGUGAGGGGGGUUGGGGAUUUCAUUAUAAACAAGUAUAAGGGGGUGAACGAUAUCAAUGUGUACAUGAUUUUUUCGGACGAUUUAUAUGUUUCCCUUUUACAUCAAUAUUUUUGGAAUUUUAAUUUGCUUGACACUAUUUUCUUAUUAAUUCAGUCCAAAAAAUGAUAUAUUUUGUUUUAUGUAUACAACUAAUUUAUUUCAAAUUUCUAUUUUAACUUUAAUAUUAUGACAUUUAACACAUUUCAAAAAUCUUAUAGCCAUACGAAUAUUAUAAUAUGUUUAAGGACAGCUUCUGAUUUCAAUUAUGCAUGUUAUGCCUCAACAGGAGUAGCAGGUUUUGGACAAACAACUCCAAUUACUGUUCCCAAUCAACUUGGUUCAGACCCUAGAUUUAGCAGGAAGUUUGGUAUGUGUUUGAGCUCAUCUACAACAUCUCGUGGCGUUAUUUUCAUCGGUCCUAACCCAUAUUAUGUUUACAAUCCUAAGAAGAUCGACAUCUCCAACUCCAAGGAUCUUGCCUACACCAAACUACUUGUAAAUAAGAGAGGAUUUUUACUAACUGACGAGUAUUAUUUCCAAAUGUCAUCCAUUCGAGUCGCGGGGCAAGACGUGCCACUAAAUAAAACAUUGCUAAUUAUAAAUAAGAAACGACAUGGAACUGAUGGGACUAGCAUCAGCACAGCUAUACCUUACACAAUUUUGCACACUACUUUUUACGAUUCUGUUAAAACUGCUUUCAUCAACGCACUUCCUAAGAAUGUGACAAUUGUAGAGCCUCCUCCUAUGAGUCCAUUUGCAACUUGCUUUAGUUCUGAAAACAUUAAAAACACCAAUGUUGGACCAGAUGUUCCUCCUAUAGAUAUCGUCUUCUACAAGCCGAGUGUGUUUUGGAGGAUUUCUGGGGCAAAUUCGAUGAUACAAGUUAGUAAGGAUGUUAUGUGUUUAGCAUUUGUGAGACAAGACCAAACAUGGUUACCAUCGAUUGUGAUAGGAGGAUAUCAAUUGGAAGAGAACCUAUUGGUAUUUGAUCUUCCAGGAAGGAAAAUAGGUUUCAGCUCCUCACUCAAACUUAAACAAACAUCAUGCUCUCAGUACGAUAAUACUAUUAUGGACAAAGUACCAUUCUAGUAUAAUUUCCUAUUUCUUAUAGUAAUAACAAGUUUCAACUACUUUUACAUUAAUAAUUAUUACUUUUAUUUUGUUAUGUAAUUUGCUCAACUAUUGCAACUCAAUUGUUAAAUUU
This 14275-nucleotide long non-coding RNA is filed under the name Solanum tuberosum (potato). Its description in RNAcentral is "long non-coding RNA (STUB_LNC002004)". The record is from RNAcentral. Lineage: Eukaryota; Viridiplantae; Streptophyta; Magnoliopsida; Solanales; Solanaceae.